AAGUCGUAACAAGGUUUCCGUAGGUGAACCUGCGGAAGGAUCAUCAAAAAAGAUGGCGCUUGCUCUCUUUCGGGGGCGCAGCGUCGUUUCAUCUUUUGUGCACUUGUCCUGGAUUUCUGCCUGGCUGCGACGCUCGAGGGAGACCUCUGGGCGCGGGCCGCGCAGACCCCACCACACCUGAAUCUUUGUCUAAACUCGGUGACUCGCAUGCGAGCACGCCAAACAUAACAAAAAAUAACUUUUAACAACGGAUCUCUUGGCUCUCC
RNAcentral lists this unclassified non-coding RNA (266 nucleotides) under fungal sp. Its description in RNAcentral is "partial internal transcribed spacer region". The stretch from base 1 to 46 matches the Rfam family "Eukaryotic small subunit ribosomal RNA", at positions 1786 to 1831 of the family's 1831-position model. Lineage: Eukaryota; Fungi. The record is from RNAcentral.